This 30-nucleotide non-coding RNA is filed under the name Mus musculus (house mouse). The record is from RNAcentral. Lineage: Eukaryota; Metazoa; Chordata; Mammalia; Rodentia; Muridae.
UGAUAGAAAAAUAAAUCACACAGAUACUCU